GUGCCAGCCGCCGCGGUAAUACGUAGGUGGCAAGCGUUGUCCGGAUUUAUUGGGCGUAAAGCGAGCGCAGGCGGUUUCUUAAGUCUGAUGUGAAAGCCCCCGGCUCAACCGGGGAGGGUCAUUGGAAACUGGGAGACUUGAGUGCAGAAGAGGAGAGUGGAAUUCCAUGUGUAGCGGUGAAAUGCGUAGAUAUAUGGAGGAACACCAGUGGCGAAGGCGGCUCUCUGGUCUGUAACUGACGCUGAGGCUCGAAAGCGUGGGGAGCGAACAGGAUUAGAUACCCUGGUAGUCCACGCCGUAAACGAUGAGUGCUAAGUGUUGGAGGGUUUCCGCCCUUCAGUGCUGCAGCAAACGCAUUAAGCACUCCGCCUGGGGAGUACGACCGCAAGGUUGAAACUCAAAGGAAUUGACGGGGGCCCGCACAAGCGGUGGAGCAUGUGGUUUAAUUCGAAGCAACGCGAAGAACCUUACCAGGUCUUGACAUCCUUUGACCACUCUAGAGAUAGAGCUUCCCC
This 515-nucleotide ribosomal RNA is filed under the name uncultured bacterium. Its description in RNAcentral is "bacterial SSU rRNA". It matches the Rfam family "Bacterial small subunit ribosomal RNA", at positions 505 to 1018 of the family's 1533-position model. The record is from RNAcentral.